GACGAACGCUGGCGGCGUGCUUAACACAUGCAAGUCGAACGGAAAUGCCCUGCUUUGGUGUGUUGCGCGAGUGGCGAACGGGUGAGUAACACGUGAGUAACCUGCCCUUGACUGUGGGAUAACUUCAGGAAACGGGUGCUAAUACCGGAUAGGAGCUCCUUCUGCAUUGUUGGGGUUGUAAAGGUUCGGCGGUUGGGGAUGGACUCGCGGCUGAUCAGAUUGUUGGUGGGGUAACGGCUUACCAAGGCUUUGACGGGUAGCCGGCCUGAGAGGGUGACCGGCACGAUUGCGAUUGAAAUACGACACAGACUACUCCCGGACGCAGCAGUGGGGAAUAUUACAUAAUGGGAGGAAGCCUGCUGUAGUGACGCCGCGUGCGGGAUGACGGGCUUCGGGUUGUAAACCGAUUUCGCCUGUGACGAAGCGUGAGUGACGGUAAUGGGUAAAGAAGCACCGGCUAACUACGUG
Molecule: ribosomal RNA, 468 nt
Filed under: uncultured bacterium
Lineage: Bacteria
Description: partial 16S ribosomal RNA
Rfam family: Bacterial small subunit ribosomal RNA
Source: RNAcentral